This 387-nucleotide ribosomal RNA is filed under the name uncultured bacterium. RNAcentral's name for it is "bacterial SSU rRNA". It matches the Rfam family "Bacterial small subunit ribosomal RNA", at positions 28 to 417 of the family's 1533-position model. The record is from RNAcentral.
GACGAACGCUGGCGGCGUGCUUAACACAUGCAAGUCGAGCGGUAAGGCCCUUUCGGGGGUACACGAGCGGCGAACGGGUGAGUAACACGUGGGUGACCUGCCCUCAGCUCUGGGAUAAGCCUGGGAAACCGGGUCUAAUACCGGAUAUGACUCCAUGACGCAUGUUGUGGGGUGGAAAGCCUUGUGCGGCUGAGGAUGGGCCCGCGGCCUAUCAGCUUGUUGGUGGGGUGAUGGCCUACCAAGGCGACGACGGGUAGCCGGCCUGAGAGGCGACCGGCCACACUGGGACUGAGACACGGCCCAGACUCCUACGGGNGGCAGCAGUGGGGAAUCUUGCGCAAUGGGCGAAAGCCUGACGCAGCGACGCCGCGUGAGGGAUGACGGCCU